AUCGCUUCUCGGCCUUUUGGCUAAGAUCAAGUGUAGUAUGAGUUCAUCUUUUAUUUCAUCUGAAAACCCGGCCACAAUUC
This 80-nucleotide small nuclear RNA is filed under the name Nomascus leucogenys (northern white-cheeked gibbon). Its description in RNAcentral is "U2 spliceosomal RNA". It matches the Rfam family "U2 spliceosomal RNA", at positions 1 to 122 of the family's 192-position model. Rfam says of the family: U2 is a small nuclear RNA (snRNA) component of the spliceosome (involved in pre-mRNA splicing). The record is from Rfam by way of RNAcentral. Lineage: Eukaryota; Metazoa; Chordata; Mammalia; Primates; Hylobatidae.